This is an RNA transcript of Mirounga angustirostris (Northern elephant seal), 2014 nucleotides long. It is a transcript of the gene named ubiquinol-cytochrome c reductase complex assembly factor 2-like, with no coding region annotated. Lineage: Eukaryota; Metazoa; Chordata; Mammalia; Carnivora; Phocidae. The transcript has a single exon. The record is from RefSeq and is a predicted model, not a curated record.
UUGUGUUCCUGCUCUCGCUAUCUCUGUCUCUGUCAAAUAAAUAAAUAAAAUCUUUAAAAAAAUAAAAUAAAAUGUUGGUUGUAACCUUCUAAAUUUAUUUCUUACUGUUCUGCUUGGUGGUAACCCAUAGUUUGAAAAACACUGGUCUAGUACAUAGUUUACAGAAUACUUCAUAUACUCUCUGUUUUCACAGCAGUCCCCUGAGGUAGCGUAUGACCUUUUUAUUUUUACGGAUGACGAGAAUCAGAGAUGUUAAGUGACUCGUUCAAGUUUGCACUGCCAAUACUUGGCAAAGUCAGAAUUUGAGCUUGAGUCCUAGGUUUUGACUCCAGCUCUACUGCCCCUUUGGUUGCAUCUGAUUCAAACUACUUCCUUUCUCCUUCCUAUUCUCACCCCCUCUUCCCUACCACAACUGUAGGGAAUAAUACCAGCUUAAACCACAUAAUUGGGUAAAUCCAGCUUCCUCAGUUAACAUACCUGCACUGUCCCCAGUCCUAUCGCUUGUCAUUCGAGGUCUUAGAAGUUCUGGAUUUCUUCUCCACCCUGUAUCAGUGGUUCUCAAGCCUGGAGAUAUAUCAGUGUCAGUCAGCUGUGGAAUUUAAUAUUCAGAUCUCUGGGCCUCCAGCAGUGAAUCUGAUUUGGUAGAUCUGGGGUGGAGUUUAGACAUGUUUUUUUUUUUAAAGAUUUAUUUAUUUAUUUAUUUGAGAGAGAGAGCACAUGAGAGGCAGGAGGGUCAGAGGGAGAAGCAGACUCCCUGCCGAGCAGGAAGUCCAACGCGGGACUCGAUCCAGGGACUCCAGGAUCAUGACCUGAGCUGAAGGCAGUCGCUUAACCAACUGAGCCACCCAGGCGCCCGAGUUUAGACACGUUUUUAAAAAGCACCAUGGGGUGGCCCAAAAUGGAGGCCAGCCCCUGCUGGCGUUUCCUAAAACUCUGUGAGGAAUGGCCAGUGGAGGAGACCAAACGGGCCAGGCGUAGCACAGGCCUUUCUGGAGGGAGAGAAUACUCAAGAUUGUAGAGCCUGAGGCCUGUGAUCGGAUGUAUGAGAGUUUCACAUGGCUCCAUUCAAACUGUUAGAAACACAAGGACCCUUGCCCCAAAGACGUGAGCUUCACUGGCCUGUCCACAGAAGAGUACAAGCCGAUCCUGUCCACAGACAUCUUGAAAGAGUUUAAGGAAAUGAAUAAAGGAAUGUGGAAGAAACUGGGGGAGAAGUUUGCCCCCAGGAAUCCCAACGAGAAGCAGAAGGCAUGGGCUCAGUCCUUAUCUCGCCCACGCUCCUAAGCGUGGAGUCUUCUAGUUGCCAUCAUAAAUAAAACUGCCUGGUUCCCCUCCUCCCCCCAAAAAAGCUCCACAGGCCUGAAACCAGUGUAACAUCAUGUGUCAACUAUACUCAAAUUAAAAAUAAAUAAAUAAAUAAGUAGCUCCAUAGGUGAUUGUUAUACAUAACCAAAGUUGAGAAUUUUUAUCCUGGAUACAUAUAAAUUGUUGGGCAUAGAAGGAAACCUAGGUUUCGGGAAGUAGCUAGAGACUUCUUGAUCCCUUAGAGUUUUAGGGAUCUAAGGGAUUUAGAUUUAGUUUUUAGUUUAAUUUAAUGCAAGAUCUGUCCCCUUCCUGGCUUCCAACCUUAUAUGUGGGUAUAACCAUUUGGAAAUAUAAUCAGAGUCUGAGUUCCAAGGGAUCUAGUGGUUCUCUUCUCCCCCCCUGCCUCUUUUUUGAUGAAAUAUUGGCUAUCAUAGGGUUGGAAUAUGUUCAUCGAAGUAUACAAUUGGAAAAGGCACCUCCUGAAGUGGUAAGCUUGGAUUAUUAUUUAAUACUUUCAUGAAAAAACAAACUCUUUGUGUAAUGCUUUUGAUUUAUAGAUAUGAAUAAAUAAUAGUUAAACAACUGAACUUUAUGCUUCAAAUUAAACAAUAGAUUUGAUCAGAAAAAUGAUACUUUGAGUACUAUCAGUUUUGUAUCAUGCUGAGCAAAACAGGAAUUGCUAAAAUUUGGGUUUCUUAAAAAAUAAAAC